CCCCCCGCUCCUCUGUACAGCCACCUAGUUCCACACUUCAAAGACACAGAGGACACUGGACCACCAGACCACCACGGUACUGAGUCCUGCUGCUCCCGGCCUAGAGCCCUGUCUUCGUUCCCAAAGCGAAUAUGUCUAGAUGGCUGUAUCUGCUGUUGAUUCUUUCUUCAAGGGUCCGGAAAGCAGGCAGCUCAGACACAAGAGAGAAUAAGAAAGCUGGAGGGGGCAGGGUGAAGGGGACGGUGAAUGUUUAGAUGAUCUAAAUGGAGAACAUACAGGUUAGCAUUUGGACAGGUGUCCUUAAGACAAGAAGAAAGAAGUUGAAGGAUAAUGUUAGCUGACUGCAGAGUCCCAUAUGGGAACAAGAAAAGCGGCAAAGAACUGAUAUUUCCGAGAUGAUGACUGAGCUAGAUGCUUUAGGCAUGAGUUCUGCACCUGGAUGUUCAUCACAAUGGCCUGAGGAACUUUUAAAAAAUAUGUAACAUAGCCUUCCCUGUAUGUAUUAAUAUGAAUGUCUAGAUAUGAAGCCUGGGCAAG
Molecule: long non-coding RNA, 537 nt
Organism: Heterocephalus glaber (naked mole-rat)
Lineage: Eukaryota; Metazoa; Chordata; Mammalia; Rodentia; Bathyergidae
Source: Ensembl